Sebastes umbrosus (honeycomb rockfish) is the source of this 829-nucleotide long non-coding RNA. RefSeq lists it as uncharacterized. The record is from RefSeq and is a predicted model, not a curated record. The transcript is spliced from 6 exons. NCBI's taxonomy places the organism in Eukaryota, Metazoa, Chordata, Actinopteri, Perciformes, Sebastidae.
GUGAAAACGAUCGGUUUGGUGACAUUGGCAGAGCGUUGACAUGUCCACGGGGCAUGAGUGGGGAGUUUAAGAGUGAGAGGAAGAGACACCAGACAAUCAGACGGAGGAGCAACGAGAAACCAGAACACAUCCGUGGUCAUAUUCCAGCUGUGGAGAGUUAGUGAAGCCUGAGUCAUGCAUCCAGCUGUGUUGACCGCUGUCCUGCUAUUGGUGGGCGUCUUGGACGCCGUUACAGCCCAAUCUGAUGAAACCAUGUAUCCACCUUCGGAGAUCUGUGUAGAUCAUGAACCUGAGGAAUGUGGCGAGGACUGGAUCUACAUGUCUGAGGAUCGCUGUGUGAAAUCGAGACUCCAAAGACUUUCCAGGAGGCACAGGACGAGUGCGUCUCUGAAGGUGGCGGUCUGGUGUCACUGCACAAUGAGGGAGAAGUGAUUGAGGUGCUUUGUUUGAGCUAUUCUGCCAGUACUGACCUCAAACAAUUCUGGAUUGGAGCUGAAAUAUCAGGGGAAGAGUUUAAAUACGUUGAUGGAUCUGCAUUCGACUACCAUCAAUGGCAUAAUGGUCAACCAGACAAUUUUGCUGGAGACGAGGACUGCGUCGAGUUGAACUACGAAGAGUGGGGAUUGUGGAACGAUAACGUCUGCACAAAGAAGAAGCCCUUUGUGUGCGCCAAAGAGCUGUGAUCAUCACCAGCUAAUGUCACAUGAAAUCACAGUCAGCGUCGACACCGACAGCUGAUCAGCUCUGCUGCAGGUGGACCGGUCUGUUUCAUGAUAACCACUGAAAACACAAGCUCUUAAAUUUACUGCAAUAAAAACUUCAGCAUUCA